Molecule: ribosomal RNA, 465 nt
Filed under: uncultured bacterium
Lineage: Bacteria
Description: partial 16S ribosomal RNA
Rfam family: Bacterial small subunit ribosomal RNA
Source: RNAcentral
GAUGGACGCUGGCGGCGUGCUUAACACAUGCAAGUCGAACGAUGAAGCCCAGCUUGCUGGGUGGAUUAGUGGCGAACGGGUGAGUAACACGUGAGUAACCUGCCCUUGACUCUGGGAUAAGCGCUGGAAACGGCGUCUAAUACCGGAUACGAGCUUCCACCGCAUGGUGAGUUGCUGGAAAGAAUUUCGGUCAAGGAUGGACUCGCGGCCUAUCAGGUAGUUGGUGAGGUAACGGCUCACCAAGCCGACGACGGGUAGCCGGCCUGAGAGGGUGACCGGCCAAACUGGGACGGAGCAAGGGCCCAGACUCCUACGGGAGGCAGAGGUGGGGAAUAUUGCACAAGGGGCGCAAGCCGGAUGCAGAAACGCCGGGUGGGGGACGAAGGCCUUCGGGUCGUAAACCUUUUUUAGCAGGGAAGAAGCGAAAGUGACGGUACCGGAAGAAAAAGCACCGGCAAACUACGU